RNAcentral lists this ribosomal RNA (440 nucleotides) under uncultured bacterium. RNAcentral's name for it is "partial 16S ribosomal RNA". It matches the Rfam family "Bacterial small subunit ribosomal RNA", at positions 338 to 795 of the family's 1533-position model. The record is from RNAcentral.
CCUACGGGUGGCAGCAGUGGGGAAUAUUGCACAAUGGGGGAAACCCUGAUGCAGCGACGCCGCGUGAGUGAAGAAGUAUUUCGGGAUGUAAAGCUCUAUCAGCAGGGAAGAAAAUGACGGUAUCUGACUAAGAAGCGCCUGACAACUACGUGCCAGCAGCCGCGGUCAUACGUAGGGGGCAAGCGUUAUCCGGAUUUACUGGGUGUAAAGGUAGCGUAGCUGGCCAGACAAGUCAGAAGUGAAAGCCCAGGGCUCAACCCUGGGACUGCUUUUGAAACUGCCGGGCUGGAGUGCAGGAGAGGUAAGCAGAAUUCCUAGUGUAGCGGUGAAAUGCGUAGAUAUGAGGAGGAACACCAGAGGCGAAGGCGGCUUACUGGACUGUAACUGACGUUGAGGCUCGAAAGCGUGGGGAGCAAACAGGAUUAGAUACCCGUGUAGUC